This 250-nucleotide ribosomal RNA is filed under the name uncultured bacterium. RNAcentral's name for it is "partial 16S ribosomal RNA". It matches the Rfam family "Bacterial small subunit ribosomal RNA", at positions 524 to 773 of the family's 1533-position model. The record is from RNAcentral.
UACGGAGGGUGCAAGCGUUAUCCGGAUUUACUGGGUUUAAAGGGAGCGUAGGCGGGUAUGUAAGUCAGUGGUGAAAGCCCUCAGCUUAACUGAGGAACUGCCAUUGAUACUAUAUAUCUUGAAUGUUGUGGAGGUUUGCGGAAUAGGUCAUGUAGCGGUGAAAUGCAUAGAUAUGACCUAGAACACCUAUUGCGAAGGCAGCAGGCUACACAAAUAUUGACGCUGAGGCUCGAAAGCGUGGGGAUCAAAC